UGCUUUAGAAGGGAAGCCUGGCUCAGCGAUUUAGUGCCGCCCUCAGCCCAGGGUGUGACUCUGGAGACCCAGGAUCGAGUCCCACGUCGGGCUCCCUGCAUGGAGCCUGCUUCUCCCUCUGCCUGUGUCUCUGCCUCUCUCUCUCUCUCUCUCCCCCCGUAUCUCUCAUGAAUAAAUAAAUAAAUAAAUCUUUAAGAAAAAAAAGAAUUUGCUUUAGAAAAUAUUAGCUAGGUAUCAUAGUCCAUUAAGUGUCCUGUCAUCUAAUCCCAGAUUAAUCCUCUUUCCUGGUUUAUAGGAGAUGGUCCUUUUCCUGGUUUGAUUGAUGUUUGGUGAUGGAGGAUUAAAUGAAUCUCGAGCUAGUCUCCUGGCUUGUGGAGGUUUUGCCACUCUGGCUUUGCCAUUUUUUGGCUAUGAAGAUCCACCUCCAAUCGUGAAGGACUUAAAUUUAGAUUACUUUGAGGAGGCAGCUAAAUUUGUGCAAAGUCGCCCAAAGAUUUUAUUUAUUCAUGAAAGACAUAGAAAGAGAGGCAGAGACACAGGCAGAGGGAGAAGCACGCUCCAUGCACCGGGAGCCCGACGUGGGAUUCGAUUCCGGAUCUCCAGGAUCACGCCCUGAGCUGAAGGCAGACGCUCAACCGCUGAGCCACCCAGGCAUCCCUGCUUUGGUGAUUUUAUACUUCAAAUUAAGGUCUAAAAAAACACCAGCUGUGAAAGCAAUAUAAAUGGACUUUAACUUGGACCUCAUCUGUUAAGUUCCCAUGCUUGGAGAAACUAAUGUCAACUCAUCAUGUGAUACUCAAUUUGUACAAUAAAUUAUGAACCUGGAAAAAAAAUUUUUUAAAAAAUAAAACUUUAAAACCUCGCUAUAAAA
Long non-coding RNA from Canis lupus familiaris (dog), 871 nucleotides. RefSeq lists it as uncharacterized. The record is from RefSeq and is a predicted model, not a curated record. Lineage: Eukaryota; Metazoa; Chordata; Mammalia; Carnivora; Canidae. The transcript has 2 exons.